GGAAAGGCAGCCGAGCCGGCUGCAGGCUGGGGCCGGCAGGAUUAACCCCGGGCAGCAGCAGCGGUGGCCGGGGGGCUCCCUGCGGAGCGGGCAUCGUGGCCUUUGCGAAGCGCCUUCAGCCCCCUCCCUGCCCGGCCGGCGGGAGCGGAGAGGCGCCGGCCCGGCUCCCCACGGGCUGCAUGCGGGAGGGGGCCAGGGCGAGCCGCCGCCGCCUGCCCCCAGCCCCGUAGCCCGCUCCCCGGGGGCUGCGCCGGGCUCGGCUCGGGACCAUGCGGCCGGCAGUGAGAGGAGAAUCGAACCUCAGCAUCUGCCCAAGGGGCUGUGCCGUGAUGCAAACGCCACGAUUACAUUGGAGGAGAAUGAUGUGCAGGCAAAGUAGCUGGAGCUGAGAAAAAUCUGUCCUUGUGCACCUCCUCCCCAUGUCAGAACACCCGGAGCUGCAGGAGAACUGGGCCACCAUGAACGGACCCGGGGAGCCGACGCGCCCUUGCGCCCCUUGAGAGAAACGCCCGACCCCGAAGAGGCAACGAGGUCGAUGCCAGGACGCUGCUGGUGUUUCUGCUCUGCCAGGGGACUCUGAAUGGAUUUGCCAUGGUGACAUGAAAAAGACAGGGGGGAUACCCGACUGCCGGCUGGGAGAUCCUACACACGCACACGCAGCCUGCUAGUAUUUUAAUUUAUUACUGUGCUUUCCUGUGAAGGGGGUUGAG
This 710-nucleotide long non-coding RNA is filed under the name Terrapene triunguis (Three-toed box turtle). RNAcentral's name for it is "Terrapene carolina triunguis (Three-toed box turtle) lncRNA (ENSTMTG00000022217.1)". The record is from RNAcentral. Lineage: Eukaryota; Metazoa; Chordata; Testudines; Emydidae.